GGCUCAGAACGAACGCUGGCGGCGCGCCUAAUACAUGCAAGUCGAGCGAGAAGACGUAGCAAUACGUUUGUAAAGCGGCGAACGGGUGAGGAAUACAUGGGUAACCUACCCUCGAGUGGGGAAUAACUAGCCGAAAGGUUAGCUAAUACCGCAUACGACUCCUGGUCUGCGGAUCGGGAGAGAAAGCGAUACCGUGGGUAGCGCGCUCUUGGAUGGGCUCAUGUCCUAUCAGCUAGUUGGCGAGGUAACGGCUCACCAAGGCUUCGACGGGUAGCUGGUCUGAGAGGACGAUCAGCCACACUGGCACUGCGACACAGGCCAGACUCCUACGGGAGGCAGCAGUAAGGAAUAUUGCGCAAUGGACGAAAGUCUGACGCAGCGACGCCGCGUGGGGGAUGAAGGUCUUCGGAUUGUAAACCCCUUUCGGGAGGGAAGAUGGAGUGGGUAACCACUUGGACGGUACCUCCAGAAGCAGCCACGGCUAACUUCGUGCCAGCAGCCGCGGUAAUACGAAGGUGGCAAGCGUUGUUCGGAUUCACUGGGCGUACAGGGAGCGUAGGCGGUUGGGUAAGCCCUCCGUGAAAUCUCCGGGCCUAACCCGGAAAGUGCAGAGGGGACUGCUCAGCUAGAGGAUGGGAGAGGAGCGCGGAAUUCCCGGUGUAGCGGUGAAAUGCGUAGAGA
RNAcentral lists this ribosomal RNA (681 nucleotides) under uncultured nitrite-oxidizing bacterium. Its description in RNAcentral is "bacterial SSU rRNA". It matches the Rfam family "Bacterial small subunit ribosomal RNA", at positions 21 to 696 of the family's 1533-position model. The record is from RNAcentral.